Molecule: ribosomal RNA, 301 nt
Filed under: uncultured bacterium
Lineage: Bacteria
Description: partial 16S ribosomal RNA
Rfam family: Bacterial small subunit ribosomal RNA
Source: RNAcentral
CAGUCGCCACGGGAAUACGAAGGGGGCUAGCGUUGUUCGGAUUUACUGGGCGUAAAGCGCACGUAGGCGGAUCGAUCAGUCAGGGGUGAAAUCCCAGAGCUCAACUCUGGAACUGCCUUUGAUACUGUCGAUCUUGAGUAUGGAAGAGGUGAGUGGAAUUCCGAGUGUAGAGGUGAAAUUCGUAGAUAUUCGGAGGAACACCAGUGGCGAAGGCGGCUCACUGGUCCAUUACUGACGCUGAGGUGCGAAAGCGUGGGGAGCAAACAGGAUUAGAUACCCCAGUAGUCCCUGUCUCUUAUAC